Molecule: ribosomal RNA, 409 nt
Filed under: uncultured Glomeromycotina
Lineage: Eukaryota; Fungi; Glomeromycota
Description: SSU rRNA
Rfam family: Eukaryotic small subunit ribosomal RNA
Source: RNAcentral
AGCAGCCGCGGUAAUUCCAGCUCCAAUAGCGUAUAUUAAAGUUGUUGCAGUUAAAAAGCUCAUAGUUGAAUUUUGGGAUCAGUAUGUUGGCCGUGCUUCGGUACGUACUGUCAUUACUGGUUUCUACCUUCUGAAGAACCUUGAUGUCGUUAAUUUGGUGUCUUGGGGAAUCAGGACUGUUACUUUGAAAAAUUAGAGUGUUUAAAGCAAGCAUACGCUUGAAUACAUUAGCAUGGAAUAAUGAAAUAGGACGUUUGAUUCUAUUUUGUUGGUUUCUAGGAUCGACGUAAUGAUUAAUAGGGAUAGUUGGGGGCAUUAGUAUUCAAUUGUUAGAGGUGAAAUUCUUGGAUUUAUUGAAGACUAACUACUGCGAAAGCAUUUGCCAAGGAUGUUUUCAUUAAUCAAGAAU